RNAcentral lists this ribosomal RNA (492 nucleotides) under uncultured bacterium. Its description in RNAcentral is "partial 16S ribosomal RNA". It matches the Rfam family "Bacterial small subunit ribosomal RNA", at positions 29 to 507 of the family's 1533-position model. The record is from RNAcentral.
AGUGAACGCUGGCGGUAGGCCUAACACAUGCAAGUCGAACGGCAACACAGUAAGAGCUUGCUCUUACGGGUGGCGAGUGGCGGACGGGUGAGGAAUACAUCGGAAUCUACUUUUUCGUGGGGGAUAACGUAGGGAAACUUACGCUAAUACCGCAUACGACCUACGGGUGAAAGCAGGGGAUCUUCGGACCUUGCGCGAUUGAAUGAGCCGAUGUCGGAUUAGCUAGUUGGCGGGGUAAAGGCCCACCAAGGCGACGAUCCGUAGCUGGUCUGAGAGGAUGAUCAGCCACACUGGAACUGAGACACGGUCCAGACUCCUACGGGAGGCAGCAGUGGGGAAUAUUGGACAGUGGGCGCAAGCCUGAUCCAGCCAUACCGCGUGGGUGAAGAAGGCCUUCGGGUUGUAAAGCCCUUUUGUUGGGAAAGAAAAGCAGCAGGUUAAUACCCCGCUGUUCUGACGGUACCCAAAGAAUAAGCACCGGCUAACUUCGUG